This 325-nucleotide ribosomal RNA is filed under the name uncultured eukaryote. RNAcentral's name for it is "partial 18S ribosomal RNA". It matches the Rfam family "Eukaryotic small subunit ribosomal RNA", at positions 1470 to 1796 of the family's 1831-position model. The record is from RNAcentral.
CCCUUAGAUGUCCUGGGCCGCACGCGCGCUACACUGAUGCAUUCAACGAGUUCUACCUUGGCCGAGAGGCCUGGGCAAUCUUUUGAACCUGCAUCGUGAUAGGGAUAGAUUAUUGCAAUUAUUAAUCUUGAACGAGGAAUUCCUAGUAAACGCAGAUCAUCAAUCUGCAUUGAUUACGUCCCUGCCCUUUGUACACACCGCCCGUCGCACCUACCGAUUGAAUGGUCCGGUGAAGCCUCGGGAUUGCGGCGAGUUCCCUUUAUUGGGAGUUUGUCGCGAGAACUUGUCUAAACCUUAUCAUUUAGAGGAAGGUGAAGUCGUAACA